RNAcentral lists this ribosomal RNA (356 nucleotides) under uncultured fungus. RNAcentral describes it as "eukaryotic LSU rRNA". It matches the Rfam family "Eukaryotic large subunit ribosomal RNA", at positions 40 to 398 of the family's 3401-position model. The record is from RNAcentral. Lineage: Eukaryota; Fungi.
AUAUCAAUAAGCGGAGGAAAAGAAACCAACAGGGAUUGCCCCAGUAACGGCGAGUGAAGCGGCAACAGCUCAAAUUUGAAAUCUGGCCCCCAGGGUCCGAGUUGUAAUUUGCAGAGGAUGCUUUUGGCAAGGUGCCUUCCGAGUUCCCUGGAACGGGACGCCAUAGAGGGUGAGAGCCCCGUCUGGUUGGAUACCGAGCCUCUGUAAAGCUCCUUCGACGAGUCGAGUAGUUUGGGAAUGCUGCUCUAAAUGGGAGGUAUAUGUCUUCUAAAGCUAAAUAUUGGCCAGAGACCGAUAGCGCACAAGUAGAGUGAUCGAAAGAUGAAAAGCACUUUGAAAAGAGGGUUAAAUAGUAC